GGACGGUGACGAUUUCGUCAGUGAAAGGUCUCGUUCGUCGUAACGGUUGUUUUCAACAGCCUUGCCGACCAUCCUGAUAUAUCACCACCCAUAAACCGAGUCC
This is a small nucleolar RNA of Corchorus capsularis, 103 nucleotides long. It matches the Rfam family "Small nucleolar RNA Z43". From Rfam's summary of the family: Z43 is a member of the C/D class of snoRNA which contain the C (UGAUGA) and D (CUGA) box motifs. Most of the members of the box C/D family function in directing site-specific 2'-O-methylation of substrate RNAs. Lineage: Eukaryota; Viridiplantae; Streptophyta; Magnoliopsida; Malvales; Malvaceae. The record is from Rfam.